AGCCCACUUGGUUACUGUGUGUCUGACACAAGCCAUGUGUCCCUUAAGUCUUACCUUCAUUUGUCUAGUUACUAAUUAACUUCCUAAUUAAUUAAUACAUGCUGAUGGCUUUGUGUUCCUCUUACGGGGCACGAGGAUUAUAAUGGCAAGACUAACAAAAUCCUUGUGCUCUUGGUCCUUUUGUAGGGAGUAACAAUAUACACACCAUAUAUACAUGUAUAAUCUUAUGAUCAAUAUUCUUAGGGAAAUGAUAAGAAUGGUGGGACAAGAAUAAAGACUAGCACUUUCUAAAAAUUGGGAUAAAACUUUAGCUGAGGUCUAUCUUCUGACAUGUGUUGUUGGCUAUGUAUCUAUAGUUUUUUCAUCUUACUUAACUAGAGCUUUAUGUAUGUUAAGAUCUGUAGUUCCUCACUGCCCUCAAUUCUCCUGGAAGCCACCAUUGCAGUCUUUGAUGCUGUAAACUUGAUUCCUUGAAAUAUCUCAUAUAAUUAUAUUAUGCAGUAAUUCUCCUUCUGGGUCCUGCUUAUUCCAGUUGUCAUUGUCCUCAGUGCUUGCCUGUUGGGAAUGCAGUCAAAUAUCACACGAUGUCUUGUUUUAAGUCUGAACAGUAACCUAGUAUGUGUUUAUCUUGUCCUACUUUGAUAAGGAAGAUCAGGGAAGAAACAUUAUUAUCCAAAGAGAUGACAAAGCUGAGACCUCGAAAUGGUCAAAAACGUCAACAGAAGAGAGGUUUGCAGACAACAGCAAGAACAUAAUCUCCUGAUGCCUGAAAGACUAGAUCCUCUGCUUACCCUGCUGAAUCAGCCAGAAGGACUCAAGAGAUGACAAUGUCACCCUCAGAGAAGAAGGGUUUUGAUAAUCAACAGAUAAGAUGACACAGCUUAUGGAUUCCAGUCAGCCUACUCCCCAGCUGUCUCUGUCAUCGGCCAAUGCGUUUAUGAACAAAGCAGCCACCACAUGAAUGGAAAUCACAUGAAGA
Non-coding RNA from Rattus norvegicus (Norway rat), 979 nucleotides. The record is from RefSeq and is a predicted model, not a curated record. NCBI's taxonomy places the organism in Eukaryota, Metazoa, Chordata, Mammalia, Rodentia, Muridae.